Molecule: ribosomal RNA, 301 nt
Filed under: uncultured bacterium
Lineage: Bacteria
Description: partial 16S ribosomal RNA
Rfam family: Bacterial small subunit ribosomal RNA
Source: RNAcentral
CAGUCGCCACGGUAAUACGUAGGUGGCAAGCGUUGUCCGGAAUUAUUGGGCGUAAAGGGCUCGCAGGCGGUUUCUUAAGUCUGAUGUGAAAGCCCCCGGCUCAACCGGGGAGGGUCAUUGGAAACUGGGAAACUUGAGUGCAGAAGAGGAGAGUGGAAUUCCACGUGUAGCGGUGAAAUGCGUAGAGAUGUGGAGGAACACCAGUGGCGAAGGCGACUCACUGGUCUGUAACUGACGCUGAGGAGCGAAAGCGUGGGGAGCGAACAGGAUUAGAUACCCCAGUAGUCCCUGUCUCUUAUAC